GACGAACGCUGGCGGCGUGCCUAAUACAUGCAAGUUGAGCGCUGAAGGUUGGUACUUGUACCGUCUGGAUGAGCAGCGAACGGGUGAGUAACGCGUGGGGAAUCUGCCUUUGAGCGGGGGACAACAUUUGGAAACGAAUGCUAAUACCGCAUAAAAACUUUAAACACAAGUUUUAAGUUUGAAAGAUGCAAUUGCAUCACUCAAAGAUGAUCCCGCGUUGUAUUAGCUAGUUGGUGAGGUAAAGGCUCACCAAGGCGAUGAUACAUAGCCGACCUGAGAGGGUGAUCGGCCACAUUGGGACUGAGACACGGCCCAAACUCCUACGGGAGGCAGCAGUAGGGAAUCUUCGGCAAUGGACGAAAGUCUGACCGAGCAACGCCGCGUGAGUGAAGAAGGUUUUCGGAUCGUAAAACUCUGUUGGUAGAGAAGAACGUUGGUGAGAGUGGAAAGCUCAUCAAGUGACGGUAACUACCCAGAAAGGGACGGCUAACUACGUG
Molecule: ribosomal RNA, 497 nt
Filed under: uncultured bacterium
Lineage: Bacteria
Description: partial 16S ribosomal RNA
Rfam family: Bacterial small subunit ribosomal RNA
Source: RNAcentral